UAAAAAUCUUAGUAAAAGAAC
This 21-nucleotide non-coding RNA is filed under the name Caenorhabditis elegans. The record is from RNAcentral. Lineage: Eukaryota; Metazoa; Nematoda; Chromadorea; Rhabditida; Rhabditidae.